GUUGUAUAAUACUUAUAUCAUAUCAUCAUAAAUAAAUAAGUUAUACUUUUAUUCUUAAGAAAAAAAGUAUAAUAAAAAUAUAAAAAUUUUCUAUUAAUUAUAAUGGGACGGGCGGAUCUAAGAAAGACAAUUUUAUUAGUUGAAGACGUCAUGUCAGCAAUAUAACUGGUGCAUUCUAAAUUUUUUUUUCUCAUUGAGAGGUCCUAAUUUAUCAUUAUAUGUUAUUUUUAAAUUUUAAUAUUAAAAAAAUAUCUAAUUAAUUAUUGGAUGGAGAUAAAAUUAAUACGUGUUAGUAGAUCUGAAGUUUUAUUUAUAUGCAAAGGACAGCAUUUGCUCGGACUCGUGUUGGACUUUUCAGAACUAAUUUGUUUGCUUGGAAGUAUAUUACAUAUUGAAAAUAAAUUUAAGUUGAUGGUCUAUAUAUUUUACCGAAAGUAAAGUUCAGAUUGAAGUUGAUUUUUAGACGAGCGAGAGCUUAUACAAAAAUUAUUUCAAUUUUUAACUAUUUGUUUGUAUAACUAUACAACUGAAAUUCUUUCGAUUCUGCUAUUUUUUGGAAAAAAAAUAAAUAAUGUAAAAGAUAGAAAUGUGGGAGAUGAACCGAUAUUUUUUUAAUCUU
This 619-nucleotide long non-coding RNA is filed under the name Ananas comosus (pineapple). RNAcentral's name for it is "long non-coding RNA (ACOM_LNC036848)". Lineage: Eukaryota; Viridiplantae; Streptophyta; Magnoliopsida; Poales; Bromeliaceae. The record is from RNAcentral.